RNAcentral lists this ribosomal RNA (395 nucleotides) under uncultured bacterium. RNAcentral describes it as "bacterial SSU rRNA". It matches the Rfam family "Bacterial small subunit ribosomal RNA", at positions 28 to 417 of the family's 1533-position model. The record is from RNAcentral.
AACGAACGCUGGCGGCGUGCCUAACACAUGCAAGUCGGACGGGCUUGAGGGGCAACUCUCAAGUCAGUGGCGAACGGGUGCGUAACACGUGAGCAACCUGCCCUCAGGUGGGGGAUAGCCGGCCCAACGGCCGGGUAAUACCGCAUACCGCCCCGAGGUUUCAUGACCAUGGGGUAAAAGCAGCCGCAAGGUUGCGCCGGGAGAGGGGCUCGCGGCCUAUCAGCUAGUUGGUGGGGAACGGCUCACCAAGGCGACGACGGGUAGCUGGUCUGAGAGGAUGGCCAGCCACAUUGGGACUGAGAAACGGCCCAGACUCCUACGGGAGGCAGCAGUGGGGAAUAUUGCGCAAUGGCCGCAAGGCUGACGCAGCGACGCCGCGUGUGGGAUGAAGGCCU